CUUGGACGCGCUCCCACAAGUCCAGCUGAGCCUCCGAGUGGGCUUUUGGUUCCCCGCCAAACGCCACAGCUCUUCCCACUGCGGCGUGGAAGGAAGACGGACAAAAUGGCAUGUGAGGAACUUCCAAAAAGUGUCCAGCUUUCGGAGGCUAUCUUCUCCCCAGUGCCUCCGUUGUGGACUGCUAUCUCAACGAGAGUUGGGCUCAAGACGUUUUUCUUCACAAGUUUUUUGUGCGGGGUGUCUGGCAUCAUGGACCACCAUAAGCCCAUGGGCUCCACUCCAGUGUAACUUCCUCCCAGAGAGGGGGUGCUACUCACAUCGACCAGGCCUUUUUCAUCCGCUUGGUAGAGGGCGGAAGCUUUGAAAAUCACCCCUUUGUCGUCAACCAAUCUGGACCUUAAUUCCACCUGCUUGUGUGGCGCGAGACCCUCGACUUUGACUUGAACCAGUUUGUCAAAGAGACAGCGGACACUGGGGAGGAUUUUCAGGCGGAUCUGGGCCAUUUCAAUUUUAAGGCAGAUUUGUGACUCACACAAAUGAAUUGAACGAUGCUUUCAUUGUCGUUGCCACAGCGUCUGUCAAAACAAUCAACAUGACUCAUGAAUAAUCUAUCAUUGCCUAUGUUAGAAAAAGAGAAAAGGACAAAGACAAGUUCAAACAGCCCUUUCGAGGUCAAAUUUGUGCACAUUGCUGUUUGAUAGGUUAUACCUAUGCGUGAAAAUAUUCCCGCAACAUUUAUUUGCGUGAUUAAUGGUGUGGUUAACGCCCCCUUUGACAUUUUGAUGCUGCGCAAGGGCAUCAACAAAGAUUGUGUGAUGUUUCACUGGGUGAAAGGUAACACAGUGCACCAAUGUCUUGUUGAAUACCUGAAAACAAAAUUAGGGGUCAAGUCACAACAAGGUGAAUCGCAGUUUUACAUUGUGCAGAAAAGUCGUAGUAAUAAACAGUAAUAAAAAAACUCAUGGACUAAGUACAAGUUAAAGCUUGAUUAUCGCUGUUAAUCUACGUUUGAGAGAUGAUGGUUUGAAAUGAUUUGAAAAGGAACGCACAUUGAAAGUAAUGCAUAAAAAUCCCUCCGUUUCAGCAAAAAGACUGAAAA
Long non-coding RNA from Hippocampus zosterae (dwarf seahorse), 1099 nucleotides. RefSeq lists it as uncharacterized. Lineage: Eukaryota; Metazoa; Chordata; Actinopteri; Syngnathiformes; Syngnathidae. The transcript has 2 exons. The record is from RefSeq and is a predicted model, not a curated record.